Molecule: ribosomal RNA, 528 nt
Filed under: uncultured bacterium
Lineage: Bacteria
Description: bacterial SSU rRNA
Rfam family: Bacterial small subunit ribosomal RNA
Source: RNAcentral
AAUAGAUACCCAGGUAGUCCAUGCCGUAAACGGUGGGCGCUAGGUGUGGGGGUCUUCCACGACUUCUGUGCCGUAGCUAACGCAUUAAGCGCCCCGCCUGGGGAGUACGGCCGCAAGGCUAAAACUCAAAGGAAUUGACGGGGGGCCCGCACAAGCGGCGGAGCAUGUGGAUUAAUUCGAUGCAACGCGAAGAACCUUACCUGGGCUUGACAUACGCCGGAUCGCCGCAGAGAUGUGGUUUCCCUUGUGGCCGGUGUACAGGUGGUGCAUGGUUGUCGUCAGCUCGUGUCGUGAGAUGUUGGGUUAAGUCCCGCAACGAGCGCAACCCUUGUCUUGUGUUGCCAGCACGUUAUGGUGGGGACUCGCGAGAGACUGCCGGGGUUAACUCGGAGGAAGGUGGGGAUGACGUCAAAUCAUCAUGCCCCUUAUGUCCAGGGCUUCACACAUGCUACAAUGGUCGGUACAGUGGGUUGCGAUGCCGUGAGGUGGAGCUAAUCCCUUAAAGCCGGUCUCAGUUCGGAUUGGAGU